RNAcentral lists this ribosomal RNA (492 nucleotides) under uncultured bacterium. Its description in RNAcentral is "partial 16S ribosomal RNA". It matches the Rfam family "Bacterial small subunit ribosomal RNA", at positions 29 to 507 of the family's 1533-position model. The record is from RNAcentral.
AGUGAACGCUGGCGGUAGGCCUAACACAUGCAAGUCGAACGGCAGCACAGUAAGAGCUUGCUCUUACGGGUGGCGAGUGGCGGACGGGUGAGCAAUACAUCGGAAUCUACUUUUUCGUGGGGGAUAACGUAGGGAAACUUACGCUAAUACCGCAUACGACCUACGGGUGAAAGCAGGGGAUCUUCGGACCUUGCGCGAUUGAAUGAGCCGAUGUCGGAUUAGCUAGUUGGCGGGGUAAAGGCCCACCAAGGCGACGAUCCGUAGCUGGUCUGAGAGGAUGAUCAGCCACACUGGAACUGAGACACGGUCCAGACUCCUACGGGAGGCAGCAGUGGGGAAUAUUGGACAAAGGGCGCAAGCCUGAUCCAGCCAUACCGCGUGGGUGAAGAAGGCCUUCGGGUUGUAAAGCCCUUUUGUUGGGAAAGAAAAGCAGCAGGUUAAUACCCCGCUGUUCUGACGGUACCCAAAGAAUAAGCACCGGCUAACUUCGUG